UAUUCAAAACUAGAAAAUCAUGUUGAUACCAAGUAGUUUAAUAUAAUGGAAUAUGAACUCGGCAUCACCAGGGACAUGAUGGGGUAACUUGCCAAUAUCCCAAGUGAAGCUCAAGUUCUUUUACCAUAGUGGCUGCCUCUCGUCUUGAAGGACUUGCUCUCUAGAGAGGAAGCUCAUUCCAUGUUCAUGCAAUGUUACGGUUAAGAACUAGUCCUGUGGCAACAAACUGCCUGAUUGGAAUACUGGCUUCCCUACUUACUAGCCGUUUGAGUCAGUACUAAACACUUAACUUUUCCGAGCUUUGUUUUCUUCAUCAGCAAAAUGAGAGCCAUAACAGUAACGAUUUCAUAGGGUUGUUGAAAAGAUUGAAUGAAAAAAAAAAUGUAUUUAAAGCUCUUAGAAUAGACUCCCUGACUGUCUGAGGAUAGACCGCCAUCAUGAAUGACAUGGUAACUAUCUGAACUAGAAAGUUCAUGACCAACCGAUGACUUCAGAGGAAACAAAUGAUCAUUGAUGUCCUUCACCCCAGGAAGGCAACAGUACCAUACCUGAGACAGAAAUUCGGGAAAAACUGGCAAAAAUGUACAAGACCACACUGGAUGCCAUCUUUGUACCUGGAUUCAGAACUCAUUUUGGUGGUGGCAAGACAACUGGCUUUGGCAUGAUUUAUGAUUUCUUGGAUUGUGCAAAGAAAUAUGAAUCCAAACAUGGCCUUGCAAGACAUGGUCUGUAUGAGAAGAAAAAGACCUCAAGAAAGCAACGAGAGGAACACAAGAACAGAAUGAGGAAAGUCAGGGGGACUGCAAAGGCCAAUGUUGGUGUCGCCAAAAAGAAAUGAAGUGUCUAGCAGUGAGCUGGAGAUUGGAUCACAGCUGAAGUGGUAAAGGCAUUGCAAUGAUGUUAUCUAUAGCCAUUGUGGAUUUUUCACAGGAAGAUUAAUAAACUAAAAACUUUCAUGUGGAAAAAAAAAA
Chlorocebus sabaeus (green monkey) is the source of this 971-nucleotide non-coding RNA. The record is from RefSeq and is a predicted model, not a curated record. Lineage: Eukaryota; Metazoa; Chordata; Mammalia; Primates; Cercopithecidae.